UUGUACCUCUUACAUCUAGCUUGGAUAUUGCGAAGAAUAUAAUUUAGGAGGAAAACAUAAUGUUAACUAAAGAAGAAAAAGCUAAGAUCAUGGCUGAAUAUGGUCGCGUAGAA
Catenibacterium sp. CAG:290 is the source of this 113-nucleotide regulatory RNA element. It matches the Rfam family "Ribosomal S15 leader". From Rfam's summary of the family: The E. coli Ribosomal S15 gene 5' UTR can form two alternative structures. The record is from Rfam. NCBI's taxonomy places the organism in Bacteria, Bacillati, Bacillota, Erysipelotrichia, Erysipelotrichales, Coprobacillaceae.